RNAcentral lists this transfer RNA (71 nucleotides) under Rediviva intermixta. RNAcentral describes it as "tRNA-Ala". The record is from RNAcentral. Lineage: Eukaryota; Metazoa; Arthropoda; Insecta; Hymenoptera; Melittidae.
UGGAUAUUAGUUUAAAUAAUAACAAUUAAGUUGCAUUUAAUAGAUAAUUAUAAAUAUAUAAUUAUAUCUAA